AAAGAAAGUAAGCAAGGGCGCAUGGCGGAUGCCUUGGCUCUCGGAGGCGAUGAAGGACGUGAUAAGCUGCGAUAAGCUCCGGGGAGGUGCAAAUAACCUUUGAUCCGGAGAUUUCCGAAUGGGACAACCCGGUGUUCUGAAGGAACAUCAUCCAUCUUUGAUGGAGGCUAACGCAGGGAACUGAAACAUCUUAGUACCUGCAGGAAAAGAAAAUAAUAAUGAUUCCCCUAGUAGUGGCGAGCGAACGGGGAUUAGCCCAAACCAAUGUUGUUACGGCAAUAUUGGGGUUGUAGGACCACGAUGUCGCAAGAAAUUUAGUGAGAAGAACCCUUUGGAAAAUUGGACCAUAGACGGUGAUAGUCCUGUAUUCGAAGCUAAACGAAGCGUAGUGGUAUCCUGAGUAGCGCGGGACACGAGGAAUCUUGCGUGAAUCUGCCGGGACCAUCCGGUAAGGCUAAAUACUCCCGAGAGACCGAUAGCGAACCAGUACUGUGAAGGAAAGGUGAAAAGCACUUCGAACAGAAGAGUGAAAUAGUCCCUGAAACCGUGCGCCUACAAGCGGUCGGAGCUUCGUAAGAAGUGACGGCGUGCCUUUUGCAUAAUGAACCUACGAGUUACUUUUUCCGGCAAGGUUAAGCAUCUUGAGAUGCGCAGCCGAAGCGAAAGCGAGUCUGAACAGGGCGCCCAGUCGGAAGGAGUAGACGCGAAACCAAGUGAUCUACCCUUGGUCAGGUUGAAGGUUAGGUAACACUAACUGGAGGACCGAACCGAUAAGCGUUGAAAAGCUUCCGGAUGAACUGAGGGUGGGGGUGAAAGGCUAAUCAAACUUGGAGAUAGCUCGUACUCCCCGAAAUGCAUUUAGGUGCAGCCUCGGGAAUUACUACUGUGAGGUAGAGCGACUGAUAAGAUGCGAGGGCUUCACCGCCUAUCAAGUCUUGAUAAACUCCGAAUGCGCAGUAGUCCUAUCCCGGGAGUGAGGGCAUGGGUGCUAAGGUCCAUGUCCUAAAGGAGAAGAAUCCGGACCAUCAGCUAAGGUCCCGAAAUAAUUGCUAAGUUGAACUAACGAAGUCAGAUUGCUAAGACAGCUAGGAUGUUGGCUUGGAAGCAGCCAUUCAUUUAAAGAGUGCGUAACAGCUCACUAGUCGAGGAGUUUGGCGUGGAUAAUAAUCGGGCAUGAAGCAAUUUACCGAAGCUAUGGGAUGUGCAAACAUCGGUAGGGGAGCAUUCCACUCCGCGUCGAAGGUGAAGCGUGAGCUUUGCUGGAGCGUGUGGAAAAGCAAAUGUAGGUAUAAGUAACGAUAAAGGGGGUGGGAAACCCCCUCGCCGAAAGACUAAGGUUUCCUGAUCAACGCUAAUCGGAUCAGGGUUAGUCGGGUCCUAAGGCUCAGCCGAACGGUGAGGCCGAUGGCAGAACAGGUUAAUAUUCCUGUACUACCUUUCAGAGUGACGUGGAGACGGAGCAGUGACAGCGCCGCGGACUGACGGAAUAGUCCGUUGAAGGGUGUAGAU
Molecule: ribosomal RNA, 1509 nt
Rfam family: Bacterial large subunit ribosomal RNA